GUCAACAAUGGCGGACUGUUUGUGGAGGACGUUCGGCUGACAAGAAGAUCUUUUUAAGGUUCUAAGGUUUGGUUCCAACAUAUGGCCUGGCUGGCAAACACACUUGUGACUUCCUUUAGUGUUCUCACAUAAAUGACUACAUUUACCAUACUCCAAGCACUCGUUGAUGUCUGUGAAGAAAGGAAGAAAGAGAGACCAUUGGUUGCUGUGAAAGACAAACUCCAGGCUGCGGUGAACACCUUUUGUGCUGCCCAUUCAUUGAAGUUAAGCAAUGAGUCAUAAAUCCUCCAUUUAACAAAAAAUAACCUUUCCAUGUUCCGUUCAAUCAAUAAAUAAAUAAAUAAAUAACGCAGGAAUUGACGUAAGUGCGUGUACUACUAUCCAAGCUAUAAAAUAAAGUGGUUCUUGACA
Long non-coding RNA from Actinia tenebrosa (Australian red waratah sea anemone), 411 nucleotides. NCBI's taxonomy places the organism in Eukaryota, Metazoa, Cnidaria, Anthozoa, Actiniaria, Actiniidae. The record is from RefSeq and is a predicted model, not a curated record.